Molecule: ribosomal RNA, 497 nt
Filed under: uncultured bacterium
Lineage: Bacteria
Description: partial 16S ribosomal RNA
Rfam family: Bacterial small subunit ribosomal RNA
Source: RNAcentral
GAUGAACGCUGGCGGCGUGCCUAAUACAUGCAAGUCGAGCCAACAGACGAGGAGCUUGCUCCUCUGACGUUAGCGGCGGACGGGUGAGUAACACGUGGAUAACCUACCUAUAAGACUGGGAUAACUUCGGGAAACCGGAGCUAAUACCGGAUAAUAUAUUGAACCGCAUGGUUCAAUAGUGAAAGACGGUUUUGCUGUCACUUAUAGAUGGAUCCGCGCCGCAUUAGCUAGUUGGUAAGGUAACGGCUUACCAAGGCAACGAUGCGUAGCCGACCUGAGAGGGUGAUCGGCCACACUGGAACUGAGACACGGUCCAGACUCCUACGGGAGGCAGCAGUAGGGAAUCUUCCGCAAAGGGCGAAAGCUUGUCGGAGCAACGCCGCGUGAGUGAUGAAGGUCUUCGGAUCGUAAAACUCUGUUAUUAGGGAAGAACAAAUGUGUAAGUAACUAUGCACGUCUUGACGGUACCUAAUCAGAAAGCCACGGCUAACUACGUG